This 449-nucleotide ribosomal RNA is filed under the name uncultured bacterium. RNAcentral's name for it is "bacterial SSU rRNA". It matches the Rfam family "Bacterial small subunit ribosomal RNA", at positions 32 to 507 of the family's 1533-position model. The record is from RNAcentral.
AAUCAACGCUGGCGGCGUGCCUAACACAUGCAAGUCGAACGAGAAAGGGGACUUCGGUCCCUGAGUACAGUGGCGCACGGGUGAGUAACACGUGACUUAUCUACCCUCGAGUGGGGAAUAACUUCGGGAAACCGAGGCUAAUACCGCAUAAUACCCACGGGUCAAAGGAGCAAUUCGCUUGAGGAGGGGGUCGCGGCCGGUUAGUUAGUUGGCGGGGUAAUGGCCCACCAAGACGGUGAUCGGUAUCCGGCCUGAGAGGGCGCACGGACACACUGGAACUGAAACACGGUCCAGACUCCUACGGGAGGCAGCAGUGGGGAAUUUUGCGCAAUGGGGGAAACCCUGACGCAGCAACGCCGCGUGGAGGAUGAAGUCUCUUGGGACGUAAACUCCUUUCGAUCGGGACGAUUAUGAUGGUACCGGAAGAAGAAGCCCCGGCUAACUUCGUG